Molecule: ribosomal RNA, 279 nt
Filed under: uncultured bacterium
Lineage: Bacteria
Description: partial 16S ribosomal RNA
Rfam family: Bacterial small subunit ribosomal RNA
Source: RNAcentral
UGCCAGCCGCCGCGGUAAUACGGAGGGUCCAAGCGUUAUCCGGAUUCAUUGGGUUUAAAGGGUCCGCAGGCGGGAAAAUAAGUCAGUGGUGAAAGCCUACAGCUUAACUGUAGAACUGCCAUUGAUACUGUUUUUCUUGAGUAUAGAUGAAGUGGGCGGAAUGUGUCAUGUAGCGGUGAAAUGCAUAGAUAUGACACAGAACACCGAUUGCGAAGGCAGCUCACUAAACUAUUACUGACGCUCAGGGACGAAAGCGUGGGGAGCGAACAGGAUUAGAUA